GACGAACGCUGGCGGCGUGCCUAAUACAUGCAAGUAGAACGCUGAAGGAGGAGCUUGCUUCUCUGGAUGAGUUGCGAACGGGUGAGUAACGCGUAGGUAACCUGCCUGGUAGCGGGGGAUAACUAUUGGAAACGAUAGCUAAUACCGCAUAAGAGUAGAUGUUGCAUGACAUUUGCUUAAAAGGUGCAAUUGCAUCACUACCAGAUGGACCUGCGUUGUAUUAGCUAGUUGGUGGGGUAACGGCUCACCAAGGCGACGAUACAUAGCCGACCUGAGAGGGUGAGCGGCCAGACUGGGACUGAGACACGGCCCAGACUCCUACGGGAGGCAGCAGUAGGGAAUCUUCGGCAAUGGACGGAAGUCUGACCGAGCAACGCCGCGGGAGUGAAGAAGGUUUUCGGAUCGUAAAGCUCUGUUGUAAGAGAAGAACGAGUGUGAGAGUGGAAAGUUCACACUGUGACGGUAUCUUACCAGAAAGGGACGGCUAACUACGUG
This 495-nucleotide ribosomal RNA is filed under the name uncultured bacterium. Its description in RNAcentral is "partial 16S ribosomal RNA". It matches the Rfam family "Bacterial small subunit ribosomal RNA", at positions 28 to 507 of the family's 1533-position model. The record is from RNAcentral.